CAGCCUUGCAGUGUACUGCUUGCUGAAAAAUUGUCAAUGAAUCAAGUCGUGGGGAAAAAGUGAAAGCAGGCAAAGCGAGUUAUGACAAUAAUGUGUGAUUGUUCUGAAAGUGAGCAGACAUACGGCGGUACUCUAGCCAUAGAGUGAGAUGGAAAAUUAAGUCCAUGUCCAGGAUGGUGCGGGCUGGAGCGGUGGAGGUUCGGCGUCUUCGCCUCACUGCCGUGCAUAGAGCUGCUGCUACUGCUAUGCCUCUCUUCUCAAUGUCUCUUGGGUUGUUUCUUGCUGCUGCUGCUGGCACUUGGCUGAGAAUCUUCUAUUUUCCUUACUGCGAGUCUACGUUGCUCCUACACUUCUUCCACGUUCAUUUAUGCUUCUUCUUUGGAAGGUUCCUUACUGCCUCUCUGGCCCUCCUAGGAUAGGUGCGUCCCUUGCGCUUUCUUGUGUAUAUGCGCUGAAUGAUCUGUGGAGUAGGUGCUA
Long non-coding RNA from Lolium rigidum, 477 nucleotides. RefSeq lists it as uncharacterized. NCBI's taxonomy places the organism in Eukaryota, Viridiplantae, Streptophyta, Magnoliopsida, Poales, Poaceae. The transcript has 5 exons. The record is from RefSeq and is a predicted model, not a curated record.